RNAcentral lists this unclassified non-coding RNA (262 nucleotides) under Hevea brasiliensis (rubber tree). Lineage: Eukaryota; Viridiplantae; Streptophyta; Magnoliopsida; Malpighiales; Euphorbiaceae. The record is from RNAcentral.
UAUUUAAAAUUAUGAUUUUUUUUAGUAAAUAUAGUUGGGAUAUUUUCAAACCAAAUUUUAAAGAUAUAUUCCCGACAUCACUUAACACGUUUAGAAUAAACAAUUUUAAAAUAUUCUUAACAGAGUUAAAUCUUAAUUGAUAAUCAAAUUAUAUACUUAAAUAUAAAUAAAAUUUUUCUAAUCCUUGCCAAAUUUCAUAUAUGGAAUGCAUCAUUUGUAUCUUUUGGUCUAUCCUCAACUCAAUCUAUUAAGCAGGUUUAAG